CCUGGUAUUACAGGUGUGGGCCACUGCCCUUGGUUGGAAACAGGGCCUUUGAAGAGACAAUUGAGGUUACAUGAGGUUAUGCCAGGUGCUAAUCCACGUGGGUGCUUUUUUGAGAGAGGGGGUUUCAAAGAGAUGAUUAAGUUAAAUGGAGACUGUUAAAACGGUUAAACUGUGGACCCUAAUCCAGUGUGACCUGUGUCCUUAUAGAAAGAGAGACACGAGGGCACCUGUGCACCAGGGGAAGAGACAGAAGAGGGCAGCCAGGCCAUCUGCAAGCAAGGAUGGAGGCCUUGGAGGAAACCAAGCCCACUGCCACCUUGAUCAUGGACUUCCAGCAUCUAGGCUGCACAGUUUUGUGAGGGCUAUCCUGGAACUGCCUGGUGAAGCUGUGUGAAAGAAUCCCAGGCUGUUCACUUUUUACCAAACAAGCUUCUUUCUCCUCUUCCUUUCUUUGUUCCUAGUACAGCCUCCUUCAGGUCAUUAAAAUUCUAGUUCUGCUGAUCUUACAUCUUCUAAAACACCAGAAGAAACAGCACCUCCUGGCUCAUGGAGACUGUGAAUCUUCAGAGAUCACCCUGAUCUUUACAGUGCCUCCUUCCUGAUCUUUCACGCACAAAUAACAAAUACCAUGAAGAGAAUAGAAACUUAAAAAUAAAUAAACUACUUGGAG
RNAcentral lists this long non-coding RNA (670 nucleotides) under Marmota monax (woodchuck). The record is from RNAcentral. Lineage: Eukaryota; Metazoa; Chordata; Mammalia; Rodentia; Sciuridae.